RNAcentral lists this ribosomal RNA (497 nucleotides) under uncultured bacterium. RNAcentral's name for it is "bacterial SSU rRNA". It matches the Rfam family "Bacterial small subunit ribosomal RNA", at positions 28 to 534 of the family's 1533-position model. The record is from RNAcentral.
GAUGAACGCUGGCGGCGUGCCUAAUACAUGCAAGUCGAACGAGGAACUUUAAUCUUCGGAUGAAAGUUUCCUAGUGGCGAACGGGUGAGUAACGCGUUGGUGACCUGCCCCAAAGUGGGGGAUAACAGUUCGAAAGGACUGCUAAUACCGCAUAAGAUCAAUGGGAUUAGAUGCCUAUUGAUUAAAGGCGAAAGUCGCUUUGGGAGGGGCCUGCGUCCCAUCAGCUUGUUGGUAGGGUAAUAGCCUACCAAGGCUAAGACGGGUAGGGGACCUGAGAGGGUGGCCCCCCACACUGGCACUGAAACACGGGCCAGACACCUACGGGUGGCAGCAGUAGGGAAUAUUAGUAAUGGGCGAAAGCCUGAACUAGCAACGCCGCGUGUGCGAAGAAGGCCUUCGGGUCGUAAAGCACUUUUUGAGAGGAUGAGGAAGGACGGUACUCUCAGAAUAAGUCUCGGCUAACUACGUGCCAGCAGCCGCGGUAAUCGAUACUCGUA